GAAAAGAACCGGGUGGAGGCAGGAGCCCUGCUCCAAGCUAAGGCGGAGGUGGCCCACAUGUCCCAGACCCAGGAGGAGAAGCUGGCAGCUGCCCUCAGGGUGGAGUUACACAACACUUCGUGCCAAGUCCAGAGCCUCCAGGCUGAGACAGAAUCCUUACGUGCCCUGAAACGAGGCCUGGAGAACACCUUGCACGAUGCCAAGCACUGGCAUGACAUGGAGCUCCAGAACCUGGGCGCUGUGGUCGGCCGGCUGGAGGCGGAGCUCAGCGAAAUCCGCGCGGAGGCGGAGCAGCAGCAACAGGAGCGCGCACAUCUGCUGGCCCGCAAGUGCCAGCUGCAGAAGGACGUGGCGUCCUACCACGCCCUGCUGGACAGGGAGGAGAGCGGCUGAUGGAGAAACUCUUCCUCUUUUCAUGAAGAAAACACCCUUCCUCACCAGCUGACCCAUGAAGUUGCUUGAGGAGCUUUCUCCUGAGCUCCAGUCCCUGCUGGAUUCCCUGGUUAAUUCAGCUUGAGCUGAAAAGCUUCCUGGAAGUGGAGAGGAUCCUUCUGCUUUAAUCUGAGUAGUCUGUAGCUUGAGCAAUCUCUCUUGUCCUCCUUCAAAUAAAUGCUUUGUGCGCAGCGUCCAGUUUGCCCACCUUG
Molecule: small RNA, 644 nt
Filed under: Pongo abelii (Sumatran orangutan)
Lineage: Eukaryota; Metazoa; Chordata; Mammalia; Primates; Hominidae
Description: processed transcript
Source: RNAcentral